Molecule: ribosomal RNA, 143 nt
Filed under: Chelidonichthys lucerna (tub gurnard)
Lineage: Eukaryota; Metazoa; Chordata; Actinopteri; Perciformes; Triglidae
Description: partial small subunit ribosomal RNA
Source: RNAcentral
AACUGGGAUUAGAUACCCCACUAUGCCUAGCCCUAAACAUUGAUAGUACUCUACACCCACUAUCCGCCCGGGAACUACGAGCAUCAGCUUGAAACCCAAAGGACUUGGCGGUGCUUUAGAUCCACCUAGAGGAGCCUGUUCUA